RNAcentral lists this ribosomal RNA (428 nucleotides) under uncultured bacterium. RNAcentral's name for it is "partial 16S ribosomal RNA". It matches the Rfam family "Bacterial small subunit ribosomal RNA", at positions 354 to 796 of the family's 1533-position model. The record is from RNAcentral.
GUGGGGAAUAUUGGUCAAUGGGGGAAACCCUGAACCAGCAACGCCGCGUGAAGGAAGAAGGCUUUCGGGUUGUAAACUUCUUUGACAGGGGACGAAAGCAAUGACGGUACCCUGAAAACAAGCCACGGCUAACUACGUGCCAGCAGCCGCGGUAAUACGUAGGUGGCGAGCGUUGUCCGGAUUUACUGGGUGUAAAGGGCGUGUAGGCGGGGCGGUAAGUCAGAUGUGAAAUGUAGGGGCUCAACCCCUGAAUUGCAUUUGAAACUAUCGUUCUUGAGUGAUGGAGAGGCAGGCGGAAUUCCGUGUGUAGCGGUGAAAUGCGUAGAUAUACGGAGGAACACCAGUGGCGAAGGCGGCCUGCUGGACAUUAACUGACGCUGAGGCGCGAAAGCGUGGGGAGCAAACAGGAUUAGAAACCCCUGUAGUCC